CGACGUAGUUGAUCAUGCUCAGACACGCUGGCGGCGUGCCUAACACAUGCAAGUCGAACGGAGCUUCUAUGGAAUUUGACUCGGUUGAAAGAGUUUAAGCUUAGUGGCGGACGGGUGAGUAACGCGUGAGCAACCUGCCUUUCAGAGGGGGACAACAGUUGGAAACGACUGCUAAUACCGCAUGACAUACCGGGGUGGCAUCAUUCUGGUAUCAAAGAUUUAUCGCUGAAAGAUGGCCUCGCGUCUGAUUAGCUAGUUGGUGGGGUAACGGCCCACCAAGGCGACGAUCAGUAGCCGGACUGAGAGGUUGACCGGCCACAUUGGGACUGAGAUACGGCCCAGACUCCUACGGGAGGCAGCAGUGGGGAAUAUUGGGCAAUGGGCGCAAGCCUGACCCAGCAACGCCGCGUGAAGGAAGAAGGCCUUCGGGUUGUAAACUUCUUUUACCAGGGACGAACACAAUGACGGUACCUGGAGAAAAAGCAACGGCUAACUACGUG
RNAcentral lists this ribosomal RNA (500 nucleotides) under uncultured bacterium. Its description in RNAcentral is "bacterial SSU rRNA". It matches the Rfam family "Bacterial small subunit ribosomal RNA", at positions 1 to 507 of the family's 1533-position model. The record is from RNAcentral.